Molecule: transfer RNA, 70 nt
Filed under: Percalates novemaculeata (Australian bass)
Lineage: Eukaryota; Metazoa; Chordata; Actinopteri; Centrarchiformes
Description: tRNA-Pro
Rfam family: tRNA
About the family: Transfer RNA (tRNA) molecules are approximately 80 nucleotides in length.
Source: RNAcentral
CAUAGAGUAGUUUAGUUAAGAAUCCUAGCUUUGGGAGUUAGAAGUGGGAGUUAAAAUCUUCCCUCUUUGA